This 492-nucleotide ribosomal RNA is filed under the name uncultured bacterium. RNAcentral's name for it is "partial 16S ribosomal RNA". It matches the Rfam family "Bacterial small subunit ribosomal RNA", at positions 29 to 507 of the family's 1533-position model. The record is from RNAcentral.
AGUGAACGCUGGCGGUAGGCCUAGCACAUGCAAGUCGAACGGCAGCACAGUAGGAGCUUGCUCUUACGGGUGGCGGGUGGCGGACGGGUGAGGAAUACAUCGGAAUCUACUUUUUCGUGGGGGAUAACGUAGGGAAACUUACGCUAAUACCGCAUACGACCUACGGGUGAAAGCAGGGGAUCUUCGGACCUUGCGCGAUUGAAUGAGCCGAUGUCGGAUUAGCUAGUUGGCGGGGUAAAGGCCCACCAAGGCGACGAUCCGUAGCUGGUCUGAGAGGAUGAUCAGCCACACUGGAACUGAGACACGGUCCAGACUCCUACGGGAGGCAGCAGUGGGGAAUAUUGGACAAUGGGCGCAAGCCUGAUCCAGCCAUACCGCGUGGGUGAAGAAGGCCUUCGGGUUGUAAAGCCCUUUUGUUGGGAAAGAAAAGCAGCAGGUUAAUACCCCGCUGUUCUGACGGUACCCAAAGAAUAAGCACCGGCUAACUUCGUG